AACGCGAAGAACCUUACCUAAGCUUGACAUCCUUUUGACCGAUGCCUAAUCGCAUCUUUCCCUUCGGGGACAGAAGUGACAGGUGGUGCAUGGUUGUCGUCAGCUCGUGUCGUGAGAUGUUGGGUUAAGUCCCGCAACGAGCGCAACCCUUGCCUUUAGUUGCCAGCAUUAAGUUGGGCACUCUAGAGGGACUGCCAGGGAUAACCUGGAGGAAGGUGGGGAUGACGUCAAAUCAUCAUGCCCCUUAUGCUUAGGGCUACACACGUGCUACAAUGGGUGGUACAGAGGGCAGCCAAGUCGUGAGGCGGAGCUAAUCCCUUAAAGCCAUUCUCAGUUCGGAUUGUAGUCUGAAACUCGCCUCCAUGAAGCUGGAGUUACUAGUAAUCGCAGAUCAAAAUGCUGCGGUAAAUGCGUUCCCGGGUCUUGUACACACCG
This 435-nucleotide ribosomal RNA is filed under the name uncultured bacterium. Its description in RNAcentral is "bacterial SSU rRNA". It matches the Rfam family "Bacterial small subunit ribosomal RNA", at positions 958 to 1392 of the family's 1533-position model. The record is from RNAcentral.